Molecule: unclassified non-coding RNA, 305 nt
Filed under: uncultured Bordetella sp.
Lineage: Bacteria; Pseudomonadati; Pseudomonadota; Betaproteobacteria; Burkholderiales; Alcaligenaceae
Description: partial 16S-23S ribosomal RNA intergenic spacer
Rfam family: Bacterial small subunit ribosomal RNA
Source: RNAcentral
AGUUCGAUCAUGGCUCAGAUUGAACGCUGGCGGGAUGCUUUACACAUGCAAGUCGAACGGCAGCACGGACUUCGGUCUGGUGGCGAGUGGCGAACGGGUGAGUAAUGUAUCGGAACGUGCCUAGUAGCGGGGGAUAACUACGCGAAAGCGUAGCUAAUACCGCAUACGCCCUUCGGGGGAAAGCGGGGACCUUCGGCCUCGCACUAUUAGAGCGGCCGAUAUCGGAUUAGCUAGUUGGUGGGGUAACGGCUCACCAAGGCGACGAUCCGUAGCUGGUUUGAGAGGACGACCAGCCACACUGGGAC